Molecule: long non-coding RNA, 237 nt
Filed under: Lathyrus oleraceus (garden pea)
Lineage: Eukaryota; Viridiplantae; Streptophyta; Magnoliopsida; Fabales; Fabaceae
Description: Pisum sativum (pea) long non-coding RNA (PSAT_LNC024286)
Source: RNAcentral
AAGAUAUGUAUAGUCCAGGCUACGACUUAAAAGAUUACUGAAGACACGAGGGGAUUUCCAUGAAAAUAAAUCAAUGGAAAGACUCUGACCGGGAAAAAGAAUCUGCAUGUAUCGAAAUAAAACCAACACAUCAAGAAACAACCAUCAGGGAAAGGCGUAAAUCAGAACAAAGUUGAAAUACCCAAACACAAGGAAAUUCGAUUUCACAAAGAAAUGUGAAUCCAAACUCAACUGAGG